UUCUGGAUGAGCUGAGGGUAGGGGUGAAAGGCUAAUCAAACUUGGAGAUAGCUCGUACUCCCCGAAAUGCAUUUAGGUGCAGCCUUGCGGGUUACUGAUGUGAGGUAGAGCGACUGAUAAGAUGCGAGGGCUUCACCGCCUAUCAAGUCGUGAUAAACUCCGAAUGCGCAUUAGUUUGAGGUCAGGAGUGAGGGCAUGGGUGCUAAGGUCCGUGCCCGAGAGGAGAAGAAUCCGGACCACCUGCUAAGGUCCCGAAAUGACAGCUAAGUUAAACUAACGAAGUCUGACUGCUAAGACAGCUAGGAUGUUGGCUUGGAAGCAGCCAUUCAUUCAAAGAGUGCGUAACAGCUCACUAGUCGAGGAGUCGGGCGUGGAUAAUAAUCGGGUAUCAAGUUGUCUACCGAAGCAGUGGGAUCAUUUAUAUGAUCGGUAGGGGAGCAUUCCAGUCAGCGUCGAAGGCGUACCGUGAGGUAUUCUGGAGCGUCUGGAAAAGCAAAUGUAGGUAUAAGUAACGAUAAAG
This 520-nucleotide ribosomal RNA is filed under the name Salmonella enterica subsp. enterica serovar Corvallis. RNAcentral's name for it is "partial 23S ribosomal RNA". It matches the Rfam family "Bacterial large subunit ribosomal RNA", at positions 798 to 1317 of the family's 2925-position model. Lineage: Bacteria; Pseudomonadati; Pseudomonadota; Gammaproteobacteria; Enterobacterales; Enterobacteriaceae. The record is from RNAcentral.